This 343-nucleotide unclassified non-coding RNA is filed under the name soil metagenome. RNAcentral's name for it is "partial contains 5.8S ribosomal RNA, internal transcribed spacer 2, and large subunit ribosomal RNA". The stretch from base 1 to 120 matches the Rfam family "5.8S ribosomal RNA", at positions 35 to 154 of the family's 154-position model. The record is from RNAcentral.
GAUGAAGAACGUAGCGAAAUGCGAUAAGUAAUGUGAAUUGCAGAAUUCAGUGAAUCAUCGAAUCUUUGAACGCACAUUGCGCCCGCCAGCAUUCUGGCGGGCAUGCCUGUUCGAGCGUCAUUUCAACCCUCGAGCCCCCCCGGGGGCCUCGGUGUUGGGGGACGGCACACCAGCCGCCCCCGAAAUGCAGUGGCGACCCCGCCGCAGCCUCCCCUGCGUAGUAGCACACACCUCGCACCGGAGCGCGGAGGCGGUCACGCCGUAAAACGCCCAACUUUCUUAGAGUUGACCUCGGAUCAGGUAGGAAUACCCGCUGAACUUAAGCAUAUCAAUAAGCGGAUGA